Molecule: long non-coding RNA, 2508 nt
Filed under: Marmota monax (woodchuck)
Lineage: Eukaryota; Metazoa; Chordata; Mammalia; Rodentia; Sciuridae
Source: RNAcentral
CCCAGGUGGCAGCACAGGACAGGGGAAUGUGGGGACAUAAAUGCUGCACACUGGGCCAGGACAGGGGGUCACCUCUGUAAGGCCCCCACCUGAGGCCCCCUAAACUCUACAGAAGACAGCGUGACCCCCAAGGGCUUUGAGAUCCCGUCUGCACCUGAGCCUGCGCAGGAGGGGCGUCUCUGUCCACCUUUUGUGCUGGAGGGAAUGGUGUGCGGUGCCACCACGAGCAAGGGCAGGAACGGAACCAGAGCCCAGAGCCCUGCUCCUCCCCUGGGCACUGCUCAGAGCCUCUCAAGAAACAGACUCAGAAGGCCCUCCUGCCCCGGGAGGACAGCAGGCCUCAGGCCUCAUCCUGUGGACCAGACAUGACCACUGGCACACAGGCCAGCCGGCUGAAGGCCACAGGGUGGGUCUCCCCUCCGGAGCUACAGAGGACAAGCCUGGCCGUCCUGGCCCAGCCCGCGGCUCCAUGCCUUUGACCCAGGAGAAGCACUCUCUGGCUUGGAUCUCUGAUCAGCUCCGUGGACCCUGGAAUCACCUCCCACAUGCUUCUGCCCUUGCCUGAGCUCCCAGGGCCCUAACCAGGCCGUACGUGGGAAGGGGGCUGUGGAGGAGAACAGGCCCUCUGAGUGUCCCUGCCUGGGGACUUGGCCAGGACCACUGAAGCAGGUGAGAUGGAAUCAGGCCCAGGUCGGGCCCUUGCCUAUGAGAAAGUCCUCUGUGCUCAGGUGCCCUGUGGCCUGGGCAGCUGGGAGAGGGGUGGGGCAGGGGGGAAAAAGCCCCCACCUUGGCCCCAGGCAAAGUGUCGUUGCCACUGCAGGCCCUGGAGAGGGUGUGGACAGGAGCUAGGAAUGCCACUUACAACCCCACUGACGACAAGAACACUGACUCUCAGUGGAACGGGCUUGCUGAGGCUGCAGAGGGAGUACCUGGAGCAGGGGCCAGUAUGGUCCCCACGGAGCCCAUGGGCCUCUGGCUCCAGGACAUCAUGGGGCUGCUGGGGCAGGGAGCACCCAUAACUCUAGCUGGCAGGACCUGAGCCCUGGCACCAAAGGCAUGCCCAGCAGGGGAUACUGUGACCCUCGACAGGAACGACUCCCUGGCCCCGUGCCCAAGAAGCAGUGGGCAUCACUGUCCUUGUUGUCCUGGCCACCCUAUCCCUGACCCUCACUGGUGCAGGCCCUUUGGCUGGGAACUGCCCCCAACCCAGCUCCCAGGACGCUCAGAGCACCCACAGCCCACCAGGACCCAGAGUUCCAAAAGACAAGAGGGCCUGGCUCAGGUAGAAGGUGGCCAGCAGCCGGGAAAGACCUGAAGCCACCCUUCAGACCGCAGGCUCCGCUGGGGCAGGGCGGUCCCCGCGGGCCCACUCCCUGGGAGAGAAACCUGGAGGCAGGGCCCCUGGCUGGGCCGCUCGGCUCACCCAGGACCCCUCUGUGCACAGUUGUUCAGGCCAGGGACCCUCGAGGGCUUUGGCUGCUCUUGCUCAUCCCAGGGGACCCCCCCCCAAGCCCCAGCAGCUGCCCACCAGUUACCCCAAGCCCUGGCCAGGCCAGCUCCCCAUGUGACCAGGGCCGUGACAGCCCCACCUCCCUUCGCCACUGCCCUGCGCCGACCACCUCACUGGGCACCGCUGUGGGGAGGGAUGCUCAGCAGGGGACAGCCUGGGCCAAAGCGGGUCCGAGCCUGCCUCCCGGAGGCCAGUGAGGGGCCAGGACACACCAGAACACCCGACUUCACAUGUGGGCUGUGGUCCCCUUCUUUUGUAGCAAGUGCCCCCUCCUCUGCCAGGGUUGGGCCCCCACCACCUUUCUGCCACUCUGCCCUUCUCCCGCCCCUCCAGGCCCCCACCUGUUCCCUGUCUGGUUAGAGGGAAGGGGUGCCCUGAUUCACACUGGAGAGGGAAGGGCUGACAGUCGCUGCCGCCCUGCCUGGAGGAGGAGGGACUGCAAUUUUUCAAUCUCUUCCAGGAGGAGGGGUCCCUGAGACGGGGGAGCCAAGUGCCCCCUCUGAAAUCUUACCCUGCAACCUGGAUUCCCUCGGGCCUUGAAGGCUUCUCAAACUGCCAGGGCCUUCGGGGAGGAGGGCCACCUGUCCUCCAGGGCCAUGGUCCCACCUCUGAGAACUCAGUCUGACGUCCGUCUCCCAGAACCCUGACAGGCAGGCCUGUGCCACUCCUCUCCCCCAGCCUGGCAGCCAGGACAGGGCCUGGCGUCCACCUGUGGCCUUGUCUGGCCCACAGUACCCUCCUGAUGCUGCAGGUCAGGCCAGGCCUGCGGUCCCACAGGGCAUGAGGCCCCUGCACCCCCACUCCCUGCCCUUCCUCUCCAGAUUCCCAAAAAGCCCGAGCGGGCGGAGUGGUGUGUGCAUUUAUAUCUGAUGUCAACAAGCCCUUCACGAGGGGCCCUGGUGCUGAGCUAAGGCUGCUUAUCCCCUAGUACCCACGACUCGGCUCCCAGGCUGCCAGGCAGGGGUGUGGGGCGCCAAGCGCGGGGCUGAGUGUCCUCC